UACGUAGGGUGCUAGCGUUAUCCGGAUUUACUGGGCGUAAAGGGUGCGUAGGUGGUCUUUCAAGUCGGUGGUUAAAGGCUACGGCUCAACCGUAUUAAGCCGCUGAAACUGGUAGACUUGAGUGCAGGAGAGGAAAGUGGAAUUCUCAGUGUAGCGGUGAAAUGCGUAGAUAUUGAGAAGAACACCAGUAGCGAAGGCAGCUUUCUGGGCUAUGACUGACGCUGAGGCGCGAAAGCGUGGGUAGCAAACAGG
This 252-nucleotide ribosomal RNA is filed under the name uncultured bacterium. Its description in RNAcentral is "partial 16S ribosomal RNA". It matches the Rfam family "Bacterial small subunit ribosomal RNA", at positions 524 to 776 of the family's 1533-position model. The record is from RNAcentral.